UGAUACUAAGCCAUGCGAGUCAUUGCAGUAAUGCAAGGCAGACGGCUCAGUAACGCGUAGUCAACCUACCCUAUGGACGGGAAUAACCUCGGGAAACUGAGUAUAAUGCCCGAUAGAACACUAUUCCUGGAAUGGUUUGUGUUCCAAAUGAUUUAUCGCCGUAGGAUGGGACUGCGGCCUAUCAGUUUGUUGGUGAGGUAAUGGCCCACCAAGACUAUUACAGGUACGGGCUCUGAGAGGAGUAGCCCGGAGAUGGGUACUGAGACACGGACCCAGGCCCUAUGGGGCGCAGCAGGCGAGAAAACUUUGCAAUGUGCGAAAGCACGACAAGGUUAAUCCGAGUGGUUUGUGCUAAACGAACCUUUUGACAGUCCUAGAAACACUGUUGAAUAAGGGGUGGGCGAGUUCUGGUGUCAGCCGCCGCGGUAAAACCAGCACCUCAAGUGGUCAGGAUGAUUAUUGGGCCUAAAGCAUCCGUAGCCGGCUCUGUAAGUUUUCGGUUAAAUCUGUACGCUCAACGUACAGGCUGCCGGGAAUACUGCAGAGCUAGGGAGUGGGAGAGGUAGACGGUACUCGGUAGGAAGGGGUAAAAUCCUUUGAUCUAUUGAUGACCACCUGUGGCGAAGGCGGUCUACCAGAACACGUCCGACGGUGAGGGAUGAAAGCUGGGGGAGCAAACCGGAUUAGAUACCCGGGUAGUCCCAGCUGUAAACUAUGCAAACUCAGUGAUGCAUUGGCUUGUGGCCAAUGCAGUGCUGCAGGGAAGCCGUUAAGUUUGCCGCCUGGGAAGUACGUACGCAAGUAUGAAACUUAAAGGAAUUGGCGGGGGAGCACCACAAGGGGUGAAGCCUGCGGUUCAAUUGG
RNAcentral lists this ribosomal RNA (864 nucleotides) under uncultured archaeon. RNAcentral's name for it is "bacterial SSU rRNA". It matches the Rfam family "Archaeal small subunit ribosomal RNA", at positions 39 to 909 of the family's 1478-position model. The record is from RNAcentral.